GCGAAGUUGGCGGUGACCUCUCUCGCUUCCACACAAACAAGCUGUAUUCCUGAGCAAACCAGGGGCCCAAGAGCCGCGCCUCAGCGGCAGAGCAGCGAGAAGCCCCCGUCUGCCCUGCUGCGCGGCCCCACCUCUUCCUCGCUUCCCACAGUCUUCCUCCUCCGCCCUGCUGGCCCCAGGAGGAAUCUCUGCGGCAGGAGCACAGGUCUGCUUCCUCUCGGAGCCUUUAGAGUCCGGCGGGAACGGGCGCGCGAGGGGUGCGGGGGCUGUCUGCUCCGGCUGCAGGGAGCCGCGGCGGCGGCACAGGAGCGCCCGCUUCACCAGCACCGGCCGGCGGGCGCAGACACCAGGACAGGAGGACACCACUCUGAUCCCUGACCUGCUGGAUCAAACUCAUAAACCAUGUAAGUGAGGACAGAAAGGGAGGAGGUGACGAAGAAAAGAAGAGACUGAGAAAGAAGAUGAUGACAAAGCAAUUUGUUGGUCCCUUUUAUCACUCUCUUCGCUGUGUAGCAGAGGAUAACAAUGGCUCUAUGGGAAGACUCCAGUCCCUGUCAUCGGCUGAUUCUCCCAGACCUGUGCCACCCUUCUUCUAUUUAUGAUGUUUUUUUCUUGCUACUGUACACGCGUGAGCACUUGGUAUCGACUGUACCUGCGCUGUCAAUUUGACUGGCGUCUAAAUGUAACUGUAAAGCAGAGCUCAGCCCACAGGUUCCUCUGUCUGUCGCGACGCUGUCAGCUGCAGGGCUGCUGCUUGCUUCUCAGCUCCAGGAGGCCAAGAUCGCAGCAGAUCCUGCGCCGGGAUGUGAACUGAACUGCCAUUCUCUCCCAGCUCAUCCACAGCAAGAGGCUGACAGACUUUAAAAAUGUUUAGUUUUAGAAGCAUUAUCUGCUCCAACACUGGACUUAGGCCUAGUUCUUUCACAGACGACCAGGCUUUGACGGGCUCAGAUACUGUACAGCUACUGUACAUCUUCAGAUCUUCAGAUCAUUCUGCAAAGAUGACUAAUGCCUAACCUCCUAAAAACAAGUCACAUGUAUUCUCUGCAUCUGCAUCUGAGUCAGUCCUAGUCUCUCCUACUUCACACUGGGUUCUCUCAUGUGGGGGUCAUGAGGGAUGCCAGCAGAGUCAGAGCCGUCAGUGGUAACUGAUGGUCCAGCCAGCUUCACACAGACUAGAGGACAGCGGUGCUGCAUGUGACCGGCAUGAGGCUGUAAAAGGGCAGCAGAAGACAUUGGUGUCCAGAGCUGGCAUUGCUCAUCCUGAAAUAUAUCCACUGGAGGACCAGGUGCCCGAGUAACAGAUGGGAGAGAGAUUAGGGAGAAGAACAGCCCGCUGGCAGCACAAUCACUCUGAUUUCAGCAUGGCACAUGCGGCUCAGAAGGCAAAGCUUCACUGCUCGGGAGGGAUUUCCCAGCAUUCCUCCUCUUUCCUCUGUCAACAAGUUUUGAACUUUGGAAUAUUACUUGAAACAGGAUGGAAUUAGUUAUGCUUUGCAAAACUGAGCUGCAGCACAUUGGUACAUCGUCCUCAUAUCCUCUUGCACUCAGUGAAUUAGUAUAGAGCCAGGAGAAAAAAUAGCCGUCCCUAAGAAAGGUCUUUCCAGAAACACACAGCUCCACAGCACUCUGCCUGGGAAAUCAGCAAAACUGCAUCCGACUCCCAGCCUCAGAUCCACCUGGGAGAUCAGCACAACUCCUGCAGCUGCCGGGGGUGACAGGGCAGGUCUACAAUAAGCUACAUCUGUGGCCCUGCGUUCCUUUUCUGAAUCAACUGCCAGUCCUGCCUGUUGAAGUCAGCCAAUAAAACUGAACCAUAAAUAGUCUGCUUAAUGUGACAGGUUUCCUGGAUUGUCAGAGACAGAGGCCUAUGCAGCACAAUGAACAGUUAUUUUCAUAAUACCAUAAUAUCUUUUGAAUAUACUAUAAUAAGAUAAAAAUCACCUUAUUUAGCUGAUGCCUUUAUCCAAGAUAGCUUAUAUUAAAGAUCACAACAGGAUUAUAUAAACUGAGAGACAUUAAAAACACAUCAAAUUAAUAUUGGAACCAGCAGCUUUUAUUACAGUUUUAACUUUCAGUACACAGU
Molecule: long non-coding RNA, 2086 nt
Organism: Lepisosteus oculatus (spotted gar)
Lineage: Eukaryota; Metazoa; Chordata; Actinopteri; Semionotiformes; Lepisosteidae
Source: RefSeq, a predicted model, not a curated record